GAAGGCCCAUUCCGUGCCCGGCUAUUCCAGGUGCGGAAGGGGGCCCGACCUCGAAUCUCUCUCUGCGUACGACUCCCUGUUGCUUCCCCGGGAGGGCGACNUGCCACCCGGGGAAGGGCCCCCCCCUGANAGCACAACCAUGCCNACAAAUGCNCCUGUANAACUCACCACCCCGGCCGUCUGAUGCCCGGCGCACCGAUCAGGGCGCAGGGAGCCAGGACGUGGACCGCAAACGGAUAGAAAAAACUUUCAACAACNGAUCUCUUGGUUCCCGCAUCGAUGAAGAACGCANCGAAAUGCGAUAAGUAAUGUGAAUUGCAGAAUUCAGUGAAUCAUCGAAUCUUUGAACGCACAUUGCGCCCCCUGGCAUUCCAGGGGGCAUGCCUGUUCGAGCGUGUCCGAGAGGUAGGCUCACGCGUGUGAAACGCGUGGUUGUGGUGGCGGCGGCGGUCCCGACAGGGCGGCCAUCCCGGCGGAAUCGAUGGGCGGAUGCCUGCCGCUUCGCAGAGCGUGAUAUUCUUUGCUAUCGCCUCGAGGGCGGCGAGGUGUCCAGCCAGGGCAUCCAUGCACGGCGGGGAGAAUGUGACAUUGGAACUCCUCGAAUCAGGUAGGGAUACCCGCUGAACUUAAGCAUAUCAAUAAGCGGAGGAAAAGAAACCAACAGGGAUUGCCCCAGUAACGGCGAGUGAAGCGGCAGCAGCUCAAAUUUGAAAUCUGGGGCCCAUGGCCUCCGAGUUGUAAUUUGGAGAGGCAUCUUCUGGGGGGAGCGCCGGCCCAUGUUCCUUGGAACAGGACGUCACAGAGGGUGAGAAUCCCGUGCGAGGCAGGUGGCCUCCUCCCAUGUGGAGGGCCUUCGACGAGUCGAGUUGUUUGGGAAUGCAGCUCCAAGUGGGUGGUAAAUCUCAUCUAAAGCUAAAUACCGGCGGGAGNCCGAUAGCGCACAAGUAGAGUGAUNGAAAGAUGAAAAGCACUUUGAAAAUAGAGUCAAAAAGUACGUGAAAUUGUUGAAAGGGAAGCGCUCAGACCAGACUCGGGCCCGGGCAAACACCNCGCUCUUNGGGGCCGUGCAAUUGCCUGGGCCUGGGCCAGCAUCAGUUGGUGUGGCGGGACAAAGGGGCGGGCAACGUGGCUCCCCACGGGGAGUGUUAUUAGGCCCGCCCUCAAUGCC
This 1168-nucleotide ribosomal RNA is filed under the name uncultured Helvella. Its description in RNAcentral is "eukaryotic LSU rRNA". The stretch from base 594 to 1168 matches the Rfam family "Eukaryotic large subunit ribosomal RNA", at positions 1 to 578 of the family's 3401-position model. The record is from RNAcentral. Lineage: Eukaryota; Fungi; Ascomycota; Pezizomycetes; Pezizales; Helvellaceae.